Molecule: ribosomal RNA, 253 nt
Filed under: uncultured bacterium
Lineage: Bacteria
Description: partial 16S ribosomal RNA
Rfam family: Bacterial small subunit ribosomal RNA
Source: RNAcentral
UACGAAGGGGGCUAGCGUUGCUCGGAAUCACUGGGCGUAAAGCGCACGUAGGCGGCUUUUUACGUCAGGGGUGAAAUCCUGGAGCUCAACUCCAGAACUGCCUUUGAUACUGAGAAGCUUGAGUCCGGGAGAGGUGAGUGGAACUGCGAGUGUAGAGGUGAAAUUCGUAGAUAUCGAGAGGAACACCGGUGGCGAAGGCGGCGAUCUGGACGAUGACUGACGCUGAGACGCGAAAGCGUGGGGAGCAAACAGG